This 301-nucleotide ribosomal RNA is filed under the name uncultured bacterium. RNAcentral describes it as "partial 16S ribosomal RNA". It matches the Rfam family "Bacterial small subunit ribosomal RNA", at positions 509 to 809 of the family's 1533-position model. The record is from RNAcentral.
CAGUAGCCACGGGAAUACAGAGGGUGCGAGCGUUAAUCGGAUUUACUGGGCGUAAAGCGUGCGUAGGCGGCUUUUUAAGUCGGAUGUGAAAUCCCUGAGCUUAACUUAGGAAUUGCAUUUGAUACUGGGAAGCUAGAGUAUGGGAGAGGAUGGUAGAAUUCCAGGUGUAGCGGUGAAAUGCGUAGAGAUCUGGAGGAAUACCGAUGGCGAAGGCAGCCAUCUGGCCUAAUACUGACGCUGAGGUACGAAAGCAUGGGGAGCAAACAGGAUUAGAGACCCCUGUAGUCCCUGUCUCUUAUAA